UCGGCGCCGCGGCCUGCUGCGGGGCGGACCCGGUGUUGCCGCCACCGCAGGCGGACAGGAGCCCGCCGACGCCGAUCGCCGCGGCGAGCACCAGG
RNAcentral lists this transfer RNA (95 nucleotides) under Amycolatopsis sp. CA-230715. RNAcentral's name for it is "tRNA-Gly". The record is from RNAcentral. Lineage: Bacteria; Bacillati; Actinomycetota; Actinomycetes; Pseudonocardiales; Pseudonocardiaceae.